UCUUGGGUUGGAAUUGCAGAACG
Molecule: microRNA, 23 nt
Filed under: Callorhinchus milii (elephant shark)
Lineage: Eukaryota; Metazoa; Chordata; Chondrichthyes; Chimaeriformes; Callorhinchidae
Description: eshark_NOVEL_1
Source: RNAcentral